Molecule: ribosomal RNA, 440 nt
Filed under: uncultured bacterium
Lineage: Bacteria
Description: partial 16S ribosomal RNA
Rfam family: Bacterial small subunit ribosomal RNA
Source: RNAcentral
CCUACGGGUGGCAGCAGUGGGGAAUAUUGCACAAUGGGGGAAACCCUGAUGCAGCGACGCCGCGUGAGUGAAGAAGUAAUUCGUUAUGUAAAGCUCUAUCAGCAGGGAAGAAAAUGACGGUACCUGAGUAAGAAGCCGCGGCUAACUACGUGCCAGCAGCCGCGGUAAUAAGUAGGGGGCAAGCGUUAUCCGGAUUUACUGGGUGUAAAGGGAGCGUAGACGGCAGUGCAAGUCUGAAGGGAAAGGCCGGGGCUCAACCCCCGGACUGCUGUGGAAACUGUACGGCUGGAGUGCAGGAGAGGUAAGUGGAAUUCCUAGUGUAGCGGUGAAAUGCGUAGAUAUUAGGAGGAACACCAGUGGCGAAGGCGGCUUACUGGACUGUAACUGACGUUGAGGCUCGAAAGCGUGGGGAGCAAACAGGAUUAGAUACCCCUGUAGUC